GUGGUAAUGCCGGAUGCUCCGACUCCUCGCAUGGGGUGUCGGGAAAGAUUCAUCGGUAUGGGAUGGGGUCGCGUCCUAUCAGGUAGUCGGCGGGGUAACGGCCCACCGAGCCUACGACGGGUAGCCGGCCUGAGAGGGCGACCGGCCACAUUGGGACUGAGAUACGGCCCAGACUCCUACGGGAGGCAGCAGUGGGGAAUAUUGCACAAUGGGCGCAAGCCUGAUGCAGCGACGCCGCGUGCGGGAUGACGGCCUUCGGGUUGUAAACCGCUUUUGAUCGGGAGCAAGCCUUCGGGUGAGUGUACCUUUCGAAUAAGCACCGGCUAACUACGUGCCAGCAGCCGCGGUAAUACGUAGGGUGCAAGCGUUAUCCGGAAUUAUUGGGCGUAAAGGGCUCGUAGGCGGUUCGUCGCGUCCGGUGUGAAAGUCCAUCGCUUAACGGUGGAUCUGCGCCGGGUACGGGCGGGCUGGAGUGCGGUAGGGGAGACUGGAAUUCCCGGUGUAACGGUGGAAUGUGUAGAUAUCGGGAAGAACACCA
Molecule: ribosomal RNA, 538 nt
Filed under: Bifidobacterium pseudocatenulatum
Lineage: Bacteria; Bacillati; Actinomycetota; Actinomycetes; Bifidobacteriales; Bifidobacteriaceae
Description: bacterial SSU rRNA
Rfam family: Bacterial small subunit ribosomal RNA
Source: RNAcentral